This 468-nucleotide ribosomal RNA is filed under the name uncultured bacterium. Its description in RNAcentral is "partial 16S ribosomal RNA". It matches the Rfam family "Bacterial small subunit ribosomal RNA", at positions 28 to 507 of the family's 1533-position model. The record is from RNAcentral.
GACGAACGCUGGCGGCGUGCUUAACACAUGCAAGUCGAACGGAAAGGCCCUGCUUUUUUGGGGUGCUCGAGUGGCGAACGGGUGAGUAACACGUGAGUAACCUGCCCUUCACUUUGGUAUAACUUCAGGAAACUGGGGCUAAUACCGGAUCGGAUCUCCUGCUGCAUGGUGGGGGUUGGAAAGUUUCGGCGGUUGGGGAUGGACUCGCGGCUUAUCAGCUUGUUGGUGGGGUAGUGGCUUACCAAGGCUUUGACGGGUAGCCGGCCUGAGAGGGUGACCGGCCACAUUGGGACUGAGAUACGGCGCAGACUCCUACGGGAGGCAGCAGGGGGGAAUAUUGCACAAUGGGAGGAAGCCUGAUGCAGAAACGCCGCGUGCGGGAUGACGGCCUGCGGGGUGUAAACCGCUGUCGCCUGUGACGAAGCGUGAGUGACGGUAAUGGGUAAAGAAGCACCGGCUAACUACGUG